Molecule: RNA transcript, 698 nt
Organism: Fragaria vesca subsp. vesca
Lineage: Eukaryota; Viridiplantae; Streptophyta; Magnoliopsida; Rosales; Rosaceae
Exons: 3
Source: RefSeq, a predicted model, not a curated record
GGAUCAUCUCCAUACCUAUUUCCAAACCCGACCCUCAAAUCCGAAUGGCAUCCACACAAGGAAGAGAUCGAAGCAGAAGAACACAACUGUGUUCAUCGGAAUCCGAAGAAUUCCGGCAAGCUCAGGCAGCGAUGCGACCUUCUAAGGCCAUGUUUUCCUGCAAGUGGCUGCAGCUGAAGCCGAUGAGGCUUCCCGGUGACUCUCGUCUCCUUCCUGACGACCUGUUGAGCAUCAAGAGGCCAAGGCGAACGUGUGUGGAGAUUUGAGGUGUUGCUGCUGCUGUGUCGAGCAAAACCCGAACCCAGAUUCCGACGAGAAGCUGCUGCCGGCAAGGAGGAGCUGCUGGACUCACAAUUUGGGGGUAGACUGAAGGUAAUCUUCGUGUUUUAGCUGCUGUGAAGUUUUGUGUUGUUGUUGUUGUGUUUUGUUGGUUGUUGAGGUGUUGAUCCGGUUGUUUUGGUUGUUGUUGUCGAGAAUUGGGUGUUUUUGAGAAUUCAGGGAGACUGACGAAAUUCCGGCAAGUUGCCGGAAUCCGGCAAGGGAUGGGAUUCCGACAAAGGUAGUUUUUCGGCAGGAGCCCGUGAGCUUGCAGGAUCGCAUAGUUGAGGUCAGACGUACAUGAAGUUGAGGCAUAGUCCAUAAUAUGGCUUCCGCGUAUUUGUAUAUUCUGUUAGAGUUGCUUUGAACCUAGGAAUUGU